This 404-nucleotide ribosomal RNA is filed under the name uncultured bacterium. RNAcentral's name for it is "bacterial SSU rRNA". It matches the Rfam family "Bacterial small subunit ribosomal RNA", at positions 355 to 776 of the family's 1533-position model. The record is from RNAcentral.
UGGGGGAUAUUAGACAAUGGGGGAAACCCUGAUCUAGCAACGCCGCGUGAAGGAUGAAGGUCUUCGGAUUGUAAACUUCUUUGACGAGGGAAGAUAAUGACGGUACCUCGAGAACAAGCCACGGCUAACUACGUGCCAGCAGCCGCGGUAAUACGUAGGUGGCGAGCGUUGUCCGGAUUUACUGGGUGUAAAGGGCGUGUAGGCGGGACUGCAAGUCAGAUGUGAAAUACGGAGGCUUAACCUCCGAGCUGCAUUUGAAACUGCAAUUCUUGAGUGAUGGAGAGGUAAGCGGAAUUCCCAGUGUAGCGGUAAAAUGCGUAGAUAUUGGGAGGAACACCAGUGGCGAAGGCGGCUUACUGGACAUUAACUGACGCUGAGGCGCGAAAGUGUGGGGAGCAAACAGG